CAGCGUGAACGCCAGGUAAAAGCGUGAAUGUGUCGACAAUACAAUAAAAGGUGUAUCAAAUUCUCUAUAAAAAUACUCAUGUGUUGACGAGCACCUUCGCCUCUUGUUCUUCAUUCUUUGUGCAGUGUGUAAAAUAUCUGAUCAUGUAGAAUCAAAGUGCGAUGGUUUUCCGUCAUGUGGGAUUGAAAAAAGUGAAUUUCCCUGGCCAAGUUUGACUCAAGAGUGAGAGAAAGGUGUCACAAAAGAUGAAACUGGCGAACAGAAUCAAAUGUCUCGCGUAUUUUCUCUAUAGUUACGCAAUUUUCUUAGCGGUCUGCGGAGCAGUUCUUGUCGUCUUCGGAGGCUACGUUCUCUACCACCAUCUAGGCUACAGCCUCCUGGUUGAGGGCGGUGCCUGGGGCCCCAGCGCCGCUACGCUAUGCCUCGGCUUGGUGGCCAUCGUCGUGGCCUGGACAGGCUGGAAUGCCAUCGCGAAGAGAAAUCGCUGCCGUCUCUAUCUCUUUGGCACCGCCCUUCUUGGCCUCAUCCUGCUCAGCAUCUUCAUCACCAUCUGGUCUCUGACCACCAGGAAAGACAUCCAGGCGACGGCCUCCUUGCCCGUUGAAAACGCCUUCCAGGACUUCCUCUCCGAAGCCAAUUCGCUCAACGAUCACAGCCACUUGUGGAAUCGCCUCCAGGCCGAGAUGCAGUGUUGCGGCGUGCACGGGAUCACGGAUUACAUCCGCACGUCCAUCCCAUGGUCGUGCUGUCGCCGCCCGGACGAUCCCUCGGACCCACGCUGCUCAUCUUCCUACCAGCGCGGCUGUUUAUUGCCUCUCACAAGCGAAACGAGAUGGAGGCUUCUCUGCGUGUCCGUAGCCGCUCUCAUCUUCGCACUGGCCCAGGUCAUGGGAGUCUUCAUGAGUGUUCAGUUGGCGCUGCUGCUGAAGGAGCAGGAGCAGAGGGGCGACAUGGAGAGUCGCGUCACGCCGCGAAACACAGAACUCUUGCCAUUCAAUGCUCAAAUCGAUACAGGGAACAAGAACCCAUCAGCACCCACAGCCACGACCAAGAGCAACACAUCCAGCCUGCAUGAGAGCCUGCACGCGGAUCUGAAGAAGGCUCAAGCCAAGAGGCUCUCUAGCAGCUGAGACAGAACAAGAAGACAUCACAGUUGAAAGCCAAUAUGUUAAGACGUUACUUAAUACUGUUCUGAACAGUCUUUUAUAUACAUUUAUUUUAUAGUAGAAAAGAACCGCAAUGAAAACGAAGAAAAUGUGUACCUAUUGUUUGUAAAACAGAAACACUAAAAAUUAUUUAUUUCAUGCAAUGCAUUUUAUAUACAUACAAUAAAAGGAAUCUAUAGAAUUUGCGUGUUUACCAAUUGAUUCAUGCUAUCACGUAGAAAAUUAAUAGGUUAACAAUAAUAAAUUAUUGCACAGACUGCCAUUAAAUACCGAGAUACAUUCAUGAAUGCAUCAUCGAGAUAAAAAUGUUUCCGUAAGUCAGAACAUCCAGGGAGUGCCUUUUCACUGAAUUAUCUCUGUUUUCCUUGGCAUUUUGAGUUAUUUUUAAGACGGUUUUGAUAACGAGGAUUCACAAUACAGUGUCUCAAAUUUAUAAAAUCAAUCUGGUGGAUAUAUAGAUUGCAUAAAAGAAGCAUUAUUGUGUUGAGUUCUAAUCAAUGACAUUUCAUGCCACACAAUUAAAAGUUCAGGGGUCCAGAAAACUUCUAAGAAAAUUAGUAAAAGAAAGAAUAGAAAAGAAUUGUCUGGCAAACAUUCAAAGGCCAUAAGGAAGCACAGGAAGAGCUUAAUAAUGCUCCACUCCAAAAGCAUUGUCAAGGGAUUUGUGCAAUCAGUUUUCAAGUACUGUCAUUUAAGCUCAUGAAAUUACACAAUGUGUGUGAAAUUCCAUAUUGACUCAUCUGCAAUUAAUUUGGAGCAUGACGCCCUAUAUGGAUACUUAAAGAAUUAAAUCCUGCAGAGCUUCACUCAUUGUUUGCAGAGUUUGCAGUGUUCGCAGAAUUCAACUUGUUGCUUCUCUAAACUCUUUCCUAGAUCGAUAUUUGAUAUGAGAGUGUUUGUAAUUUCUUGGCAAGCCGAAUUUGAAUUAAUUGCAUAUUUUUCGAAUAAAUAAAUAAGCACGUAGGAGAGCUGGAAUGUGUAUCUAAAUCAGACAUCUUCUGGAAAAGCCAAUAAUCUGUCCAGAGGGAGAUUUCCAUCGCAUAAUCAACCAAUGGUGACGGUGGAAAAGCACGGCUUUGCUGUGUGGAAAAUAUGUGAGGCGCGAGAGUUUGAGAAACACUCAUAGAAUGCCUUGAUAAGCCUCGAGCGCGUAGAGUCACUUUUAUAAACACACAACACACCACCAAAUUGUUCCAGUUCGACUGUGACCGCCGUGGAAUACGUACCGAGUGAGAGGUUUCCUUUGGAUUUUGUGACAAAUCUAUAGAAUUAGUUUUUGCUGAAAGCCGCCAAAAAAUCACUCAAGAUGAAUUGUGGGAUGAGCCUUGUGAAAUAUGUCCUCUUCAUAUUCAAUUUGCUGUGUGCGCACUUCUGGGAAGGCCACCGAAUACCUUUUCACUCCCAUGAUCAACAGUAUUCAUUGUCAUCACUCUCUAUGACUCAUGCUAUGCGAUAAUUACCGGGGGGAUUCACAUCGCAAUAUACAUACUCAAUACAUGAACACCAGAGUCACGGAUAAUGUGGCCCGCGGAGCAUUAAAGUUCGAUGUAUCGAUAUGUGUCCAUGGCUUGAGAUCCCGCGCGCACCAACACACCGCGAAAUGGAGAACAAUUUCUCAGAAAAUCUAUGUAAUUGCGCCUCUGCCGUCAUGCAACUCGGGAUUAGUAUUCGUCUUAGGUGAUGCUGAGAGUCUGUCCGGCGUGUCUUGGAAUUCAGGGGUUUGGCUGACCAACACUUCGGCACGGCGCGGAAUUAAGAGUUUGGCUAAAAAUAAUCCACUUUGUAAUCUCGGGCACGGCAAUUUCAUCUGUGAUGAGAAAAUGGCACCAUAGACUAUAUUUUUUUUUAGAGCUGAGAGCGGGGAUUUUGAUUACCAGGCGAGCUAUGUGGCAUUGCCCUGCUGACAAUAGGUAUCAUCGUCCUCGUCAAUGCUGCUGACCUGGAGAAGCUCUUUGGAGACUACAAUGCCAUCGCCGCG
This is an RNA transcript of Phlebotomus argentipes, 3144 nucleotides long. It is a transcript of the gene named 23 kDa integral membrane protein-like, with no coding region annotated. The transcript has 6 exons. The record is from RefSeq and is a predicted model, not a curated record. NCBI's taxonomy places the organism in Eukaryota, Metazoa, Arthropoda, Insecta, Diptera, Psychodidae.